This 353-nucleotide long non-coding RNA is filed under the name Equus asinus (donkey). RNAcentral's name for it is "lncRNA (ENSEASG00005027509.1)". Lineage: Eukaryota; Metazoa; Chordata; Mammalia; Perissodactyla; Equidae. The record is from RNAcentral.
CUGCGGCGGAGCGCAGAUUUCACUUCCCGGGGGCCCGGCGGGAAAGGGGAGGGAACUCGGCCAGAUCAAGGCGGUGCAGCCCAUUUUAGAGAUGGGGCAAGUGAGGCCCGGGAGGAUCCCGUGUAGUAAACUACCCGAGGAAGCAGAGAAGAGGGAGUCCAUGCUCCCAGACAGGGCGGACAAGGAGCCCUAAGACUGCAGAUUCUGCAAGGAGAAAUGUAUUUCCUUCGUCUUUCUGGCCCCGGCACCUAUGCCAGUGCCUGGAACAGAGUAGCUAUUUAGAAUUGGAUGUCGAUUCCCCAGACAGAUCAGACCUUGAGAAAGGCCUUCCUGCUAAAACUGGCAAGAAGAGA